RNAcentral lists this ribosomal RNA (253 nucleotides) under uncultured bacterium. RNAcentral describes it as "partial 16S ribosomal RNA". It matches the Rfam family "Bacterial small subunit ribosomal RNA", at positions 524 to 776 of the family's 1533-position model. The record is from RNAcentral.
UACGUAGGGGGCAAGCGUUGUCCGGAAUUAUUGGGCGUAAAGAGCGCGUAGGCGGUCCGAUAAGUCGGCUGUGAAAGUCAGGGGCUCAACCCUUGAAAGCCGGCCGAUACUGUCGGACUAGAGUCCGGAAGAGGCAAGUGGAAUUCCUGGUGUAGCGGUGAAAUGCGCAGAUAUCAGGAGGAACACCGGUGGCGAAGGCGGAUCUCUGGGCCAUUACUGACGCUGAGGAGCGAAAGCGUGGGGAGCGAACAGG